This 500-nucleotide ribosomal RNA is filed under the name uncultured bacterium. RNAcentral's name for it is "partial 16S ribosomal RNA". It matches the Rfam family "Bacterial small subunit ribosomal RNA", at positions 28 to 523 of the family's 1533-position model. The record is from RNAcentral.
GAUUAACGCUAGCGGCAGGCAUAAUACAUGCAAGUUGAACGAGAUAAGUUUUAGCAAUAGAACUUUGAAAGUGGCGCACGGGUGCGUAACACGUAUGCAACCUACCUUUUACUGGGGAAUAGCCUCUCGAAAGAGAGAUUAAUACCCCAUAAUAUAUUGAUAAGGCAUCUUAUUAAUAUUAAAGUUACGGCGGUAAAAGAUGGGCAUGCGGCUGAUUAGGUAGUUGGUGAGGUUAUGGCUCACCAAGCCGACGAGGAGUAGGGGGUCUGAGAGGAUGUCCCCCCACACUGGUACUGAGACACGGACCAGACGCCGACGGGAGGCAGAAGUAGGGAAGAUUGGACAAUGGGCGAAAGCCUGAUCCAGCCAUGCCGCGUGCAGGAUGAAGGCCCUAUGGGUCGUAAACUGCUUUUGUACGGGAAGAAACCUCACUACGUGUAGUGAGUUGACGGUACCGUGAGAAUAAGGAUCGGCUAACUUCGUGCCAGCCGCCGCAGUAA